Molecule: ribosomal RNA, 496 nt
Filed under: uncultured bacterium
Lineage: Bacteria
Description: partial 16S ribosomal RNA
Rfam family: Bacterial small subunit ribosomal RNA
Source: RNAcentral
GAUGAACGCUGGCGGCGUGCCUAAUACAUGCAAGUCGAGCGAACAGACGAGGAGCUUGCUCCUCUGACGUUAGCGGCGGACGGGUGAGUAACACGUGGAUAACCUACCUAUAAGACUGGGAUAACUUCGGGAAACCGGAGCUAAUACCGGAUAAUAUAUUGAACCGCAUGGUUCAAUAGUGAAAGGCGGUUUUGCUGUCACUUAUAGAUGGAUCCGCGCCGCAUUAGCUAGUUGGUAAGGUAACGGCUUACCAAGGCGACGAUGCGUAGCCGACCUGAGAGGGGGAUCGGCCCCCCUGGAACUGGAACACGGUCCAGCACCCUACGGGAGGCAGCAGUAGGGAAUCUUCCGAAAUGGGGGAAAGCCUGACGGAGCAACGCCGCGUGAGAGAAGAAGGUCUUCGGAUCGUAAAACUCUUUUAUUAGGGAAAAACAAAUGUGUAAGUACCUAUCCCCGUUUUGACGGUACCUAAUCAAAAAGCCCCGGCUAACUACGU